UACGUAGGCGGUUUAUUAAGUCAGAUGUGAAAGCCCGGGCUUAACCUGGGAACUGCAUUUGAUACUGGUAAACUAGAGUAUGGUAGAGGGGGGUAGAAUUCCUAGUGUAGCGGUGAAAUGCGUAGAUAUUAGGAGGAAUACCAGUGGCGAAGGCGGCCCCCUGGACCAAUACUGACGCUGAGGUACGAAAGCGUGGGUAGCGAACA
This 206-nucleotide ribosomal RNA is filed under the name uncultured bacterium. RNAcentral describes it as "partial 16S ribosomal RNA". It matches the Rfam family "Bacterial small subunit ribosomal RNA", at positions 568 to 774 of the family's 1533-position model. The record is from RNAcentral.